Molecule: ribosomal RNA, 500 nt
Filed under: uncultured bacterium
Lineage: Bacteria
Description: partial 16S ribosomal RNA
Rfam family: Bacterial small subunit ribosomal RNA
Source: RNAcentral
AUUGAACGCUGGCGGCAUGCCUUACACGUGCAAGUCGAACGGCAGCACGGGAGCAAUCCUGGUGGCGAGUGGCGAACGGGUGAGUAAAGUAUCGGAACGUGCCCAGUCGUGGGGGAUAACGUAGCGAAAGUUACGCUAAUACCGCAUACGAUCUAUGGAUGAAAGCGGGGGAUCGCAAGACCUCGCGCGAUUGGAGCGGCCGAGAUCAGAUUAGGUAGUUGGUGGGGUAAAGGCUCACCAAGCCGACGAUCUGUAGCUGGUCUGAGAGGACGACCAGCCACACUGGGACUGAGACACGGCCCAGACUCCUACGGGAGGCAGCAGUGGGGAAUUUUGGACAAUGGGCGAAAGCCUGAUCCAGCCAUGCCGCGUGCAGGAUGAAGGCCUUCGGGUUGUAAACUGCUUUUGUACGGAACGAAAAGGUUUGGCCUAAUAAGCUGAGCUCAUGACGGUACCGUAAGAAUAAGCACCGGCUAACUACGUGCCAGCAGCCGCCGUAA